RNAcentral lists this ribosomal RNA (460 nucleotides) under uncultured bacterium. Its description in RNAcentral is "partial 16S ribosomal RNA". It matches the Rfam family "Bacterial small subunit ribosomal RNA", at positions 338 to 795 of the family's 1533-position model. The record is from RNAcentral.
CCUACGGGCGGCAGCAGUGAGGAAUAUUGGUCAAUGGACGAGAGUCUGAACCAGCCAAGUAGCGUGAAGGAUGACUGCCCUAUGGGUUGUAAACUUCUUUUAUAUGGGAAUAAAACGUUCCACGUGUGGGAUUUUGUAUGUACCAUAUGAAUAAGGAUCGGCUAACUCCGUGCCAGCAGCCGCGGUAAUACGGAGGAUCCGAGCGUUAUCCGGAUUUAUUGGGUUUAAAGGGAGCGUAGGUGGAUUGUUAAGUCAGUUGUGAAAGUUUGCGGCUCAACCGUAAAAUUGCAGUUGAAACUGGCAGUCUUGAGUACAGUAGAGGUGGGCGGAAUUCGUGGUGUAGCGGUGAAAUGCUUAGAUAUCACGAAAAACUCCGAUUGCGAAGGCAGUUCACUAGACUGCAACUGACACUGAGGCUCGAAAGUGUGGGUAUCAAACAGGAUUAGAUACCCCAGUAGUC